CUGAAAUCUAUUUAAAUUAAAAUGUAAGAUAUUAUGUGUCGGAUGUAGGUAGGGCUCUGUAGGUUCCACCACUUCUCCAUAACUACGCAAUAAUUAUUUGCAGUCUCCCGGUCUGUUAUUGUUGUUAUGUAAACUCUUUAUUUCGAGCAAUGCAUCAGCUGUUUUUUCUUUUAUUCAAAGACACUCUGAAAAACCAGCAAAAUAUGGGAGACGACUAAUUGAUUUUAUUAUUUAUUUAUUGUUCACAUGUAAUUUACUGGCCUACUUUAAUAUUUACCUUUGGGGAAGAGAGAACUAAGCAUGGCUUGAAAGACCAGUGUGGCCAGAUAUUGUAUACCUGUGCCAAAUGGGUCAUGCUAAGCUCCCCUAGAUCCUGCGACGUAGAGAACAUCAACCGAUUGCCGUAUUACAAGGUGACCGAAAAGGCUGCAUCGUUAAAUUGAGGCCAAUUAUAAACUUUUCUUAUCUCAAUGAUAAUCAAACAGGAUUUGUGAUCUGUGAGGUAUGAUUAAAAUUGAUGGCGACGUCGACUGGAACACCGUUACUGACAUUGGCGAUGAGAGUAUGAAGUACCAUUGGCCAAAGGAAAGCAAGAACUCCGAAGAGAACUUAGAUUGUAGAAAACCGAGAGCUUCAGUUACUUAAGAGUUAUCAGGAAAGUUGAGGAAUUCUUAUAGAUCUCACCUUCCAAUCGUAUACGAAAACCUUUCCUGGAAGAAGCUUUUUAGCCUAACUCCGAAUUUCGAUACUUAAUUUCCUCAUAAAUAUGUUUAUUUAAAUAAUUUGCCAAUAAAAUAACCACCCUUAAUAAGUUCAUUUUCACAUACAAAACUCAGUUUAGUUUUAUAGUAUUCGUUGUGUUUGACAAAUAUUUAAGUAGAUGACAUUUUGUAUACAUCAAAAAUAAAAUGGAUAUAUUACAAAUAUAAAGAUUAAAAUAUCAUACACACAUAA
This is a long non-coding RNA of Drosophila rhopaloa, 954 nucleotides long. RefSeq lists it as uncharacterized. Lineage: Eukaryota; Metazoa; Arthropoda; Insecta; Diptera; Drosophilidae. The record is from RefSeq and is a predicted model, not a curated record. The transcript is spliced from 2 exons.